Molecule: non-coding RNA, 3396 nt
Organism: Vicugna pacos (alpaca)
Lineage: Eukaryota; Metazoa; Chordata; Mammalia; Artiodactyla; Camelidae
Source: RefSeq, a predicted model, not a curated record
GCCUGCCCGGAGCUGGCGCCGCGCCGGCUGCCGGCGGAUGUCUGGUGAGAAGCAAACAGAUAAGGCCGCCCGGGCGGGAGGCCGGAACGCCACACGCGGGGCCGGGGGUUAUCGGGCGGCUGUGACUUCCAGGCGACUCUGUCGGGUGUAACUGACACGUGAGAACCCGCAGACACAGGUGGACCUGGGAGACACUGCGGCUUGAGCUCCGCAUCCUUGCAGUAGAGCAAAUAUGACAACAAAGCGAAUUGUGUGAUUUUUUGUUUCCCAGCGCGUAUGAAAGUUAUGUUCACCCCCUACUGUUGUGUGCAGUAGCAUUAUCUUUUUAAAAUGUAUAUACCUUAAUUUAAAAAUGCCUUGUUGCUAAAAAAUGCUACGCAGCAUCAGAGCUCUUAGCAAAGACGACUCUAGCAAAGAUGCCAGCACAACAAAUAUAAUAGUAACGACAGUUUGAAAUGCGGUGAGAACGACUAGAAUGUGACACAGAGACACGAAGUGAACAGAUGCUGGUGGAAGAAUGGUGCCGUGUAAGGCCUGCUCCACGCAGGGCGGCCACAGACCUUCAGUUUGUAAAAACUGCAAUGUUUGCGAAGCCCAAUGAAACAACUCUGUCUGGACUCGAGUUCCAUUUCGUGAGCCGCAGCCCAGGCACGCACCUGGGCAGCCGCCGCCGCCAUCAGCACAGGGAUCACCUCCUCCGUCCCCCGAGGGGCCUGGGCCCCUUUGAGAAGCUGCCCGUCCACCAGCCACGGCAGCUGCGGAUCUGCUCGUGGUCGCUGCAGGUUCAUUUGCAUUUUCUCGAAUUUCAUAUAAACGGAAUCAUGCAGUGUGUACUUUUUUUGGUCUGGCUUCUUUCCCUCAGGUUUUUGCGUGAAGUUCUUUUGCGAUCCAUCCACGUUGUGGUUUGAUUCAAUGUUUUGUUCCGUUUUUGCUGGGCAGUACUUCCUGGUGCAAGUGGGCUGCAGUCUGCUCCUCGGCUCACCCACUGGUGGUCCUGGGAUGUCCCCAGUUUGGGGCUUUGACAAACAGAGCUGCUGGGCAGGUGUGCGCAGCCUCGUGUGGCACAAGCCUUUGUUCCUCCUGGGCAAACACGCACAGUGGCAUGGCCGGGUCGUACAGCUGGCGUCCGGGCGACUUUUUAAGCCAGCUGUCCCCCAGCGUGGUGCUGUCUUGUGCGUCCCCACCAGCCACGGACGAGACUUCUGGUUUCCCCACAUCCUCACCGGCACUGGGCACCGUCCGUCUUCAGACUGUCGCCUGUGGGUCAUGGUGUCUUGCAUACGUGUCUCGCCGCCCACGUGUCUGCUUUGGUCAAGUGUCCUUCAAAUCUUUGCACAUUAAAAAACUGGACUAUCUGCUGCUGUGCAGUUCUGAGAGUUCUCUACCUGCUCUGGACGCAAGUCCUGCACCAGCAUCCAUGCCGGACGCAGGCUGGUUGCUAAUGGCGGCCUUUCCUCCCCGCUGUGGCAGAGCUGUCCUCUUCCUCUGCCUUCCCGGCGCUCGUGAUCGGGUGGCAGACACUGUGAAUUUCACCUGGGGGACACUUCUGUCCCCUCCAGACCUUCUUGCCCUUUGCUCUGGGGCACAGGUAAGGUGCGUGGACGCAGUUUGGUCUUUUGGGUCUUGCUUUUGUGAACCCUCAGGUGGCGCUGGAGCAGGGCUCAGUCCAGGCAGGGCUGGUGAGCCGUCUACCGGCCACAUGGUGAUUGUGAGGUUUUCCAGCAUCCCUUGUGGGACAGCGCUGCUCCCUCCCGUCCAGCAGGUGGGUCCUCCCCACUCAGGCCUUUCCUUCACUUGUGUGUCCUGCCUGGUGGGACCCCAGUAGCUUCUGCACACCCAGGGCUCGCUCUGUGCAGCCCUCUCCUCUCCAGCGUCCCCUGAACUCCAGCUACCUUGGUCUCCCGGGGUCUCAGCCAAGCUCCUCCUGGUCCCUGCCCUGCACCUCGUCCUGGAAACUGCCCCAGGCACUGAUCUGGGAACCUGCAGGGCUGCCCAGGUGUGUUUUCUGUCUCCUCUAGGAUCUCUGUUCUUCUUUGCCUGACGUCCAGCAUCUUGACAACUGUCAUUUCACAUAUUUUGUCCCACCUUUCAGCUGUUUCAGGAAGGAGUGAAUCCAAUCUGGUAUUCUUUUUGUUGGAAAUGGAAGAACUCAAUGAGAUAGAUCCAAAAAACACUGUAAUGUCGUUCAGUCACUCAUAAAAUGUGGGGAAAUGCAGAAAGGCAGCCAGAAGAUAAACACUGCCCCUCGGGGCCCCUCUGCCCAAGCCCAUGUGCCGGCAGCCGGCAGCCCUUCGCCGCGUCUCCUCCUGGCUGUUCCUGUGUGUGAGACCCUGGGCAGCACGACGCUCAGCACAGAAGGGCGGCUUGGGAACCUGGAGUUUAUCAUCUCCUCAUCUGAGGCCCAGGUGUCGGAAGGGCUGCUUCCCUUGAGGCCCCCUCCCCUUGCUCCUGGUGCUUCCUGACCAUCUCUGGGGCUCCCUGACCUGGCGACGCAUCGCCCCACCUCUGCCUCCGUCUCCCCAUGUGCGUCUGAUCCAGAUGCUCCCUCUUUUCACAAGGACCCCAGUUGCACUGGAUGAGGGCCCACCUGCCCCAGGUGACCUCACCCUCACUCAUUACAUCUGUGAGGACCCUGCUUCCAAGCCGGUCCCAUCCUGAGGUGCUGGGGGUCUGGAUUUCCACCUGUGAAUCUGUGUGUUUCCGCGGGAGGAGGCCACAUGCAGGAACGCCGCUGCCCUUUGGAGACUCUGUUUACCUUGGGGAGCAGGUGGGGCAGGCCUGUUCUGCCCAAGGCUCUGCCUACACCCUCUAUCAUGCAGAUGUCCUGGGCUGGUGUCCCAAGACAGAAGCCCAUCUCAGGGGUCCUGCCCGGGCCGGUGGCGGGGCCUCGAGCGGGGGGUACACCCUCUGCGCCGGACCUCCCGCCCUCAGGCCUGCCCACCCUCUGGGCCACCACCUCCCUCUGACUCCUGGGCAUCACUGAGACGCACGUGGCCCCAAGGCCUCCGGCCACAGCCUCACUGGGCACUCGUGGCCUGUGGGACGAGGCAGGCUUGUCAGCAACAAGAAGAAGAGACAAGCCAACGACCGCCGGCAGCCCCCCGGGCCAGGCUCUGUCCUUCGCGCAGCUGUGGCUGGUGGGGGCACCUGGAGUCUGGCCCCGCCUGCUGGGCCCGGCCUGGGGCUGCUCACCCGUGCGGUGACGCUGACCUGUGGGUGACAGGCAGGCCAGGUCCCCCCAGCUACUCCUUGAGAACUUUCUGUUGACUUUCCUGCUUGGCCAGCUCUGUAAUCUGCUGGUGCAAAGGCCACAUCCGCUUCCUCGUGGCCUGCGUACGAGGACCGUCCCUGCUCCCUCCGCUGUGUGACGAGGCCUGGCUCCAGGCCCAGCCCUGG